AGGAUUAACGCUGGCGGCGUGCCUAACACAUGCAAGUCGAACGAGGUAGCAAUACCUAGUGGCAGACGGGUGAGUAACGCGUGGUCAACCUACCGUUGAGUGGGGGAUAACUAGCCGAAAGGUUAGCUAAUACCGCAUACGUCUCCGAGGGGCAUCCCUUGGCGAUAAAAGGAGCAAUCCGCUCGAUGACGGGACCGCGUCCCAUUAGCUAGAUGGUGGGGUAACGGCCUACCAUGGCACCGAUGGGUAGCUGGUUUGAGAGAGCGACCAGCCACACUGGGACUGAGAAACGGCCCAGACUCCUACGGGAGGCAGCAGUGAGGAAUUUUCCGCAAUGGGCGCAAGCCUGACGGAGCGACGCCGCGUGUGGGAAGAAGGCCUUCGGUCGUAAACCACUGUCGAAGGGACGAUAAUGACGGUACCCUUGGAGGAAGCCCGGCUAACUACGUGCCAGCAGCCGC
RNAcentral lists this ribosomal RNA (461 nucleotides) under uncultured bacterium. Its description in RNAcentral is "SSU rRNA". It matches the Rfam family "Bacterial small subunit ribosomal RNA", at positions 26 to 518 of the family's 1533-position model. The record is from RNAcentral.